GGAAGUGGCCGACAUAGAGCCUAAAGUUCUCCCACAGCAUUGAGGGUAGAGUGGUGAUGUCAUACAGAGGUAGAAGUUGUGGUUUUGUGUACAUAAUUUACGGACCUUUCAGAUUUGGUCUAUGACAUAAUUUCAUGGGGCAAGCAUGCUAUUACGCAUAUCCCCAAUGUAAUGACAGCAGAUAUUAUUCAUUCUUACUAGAAAUGUAACAGUUACAUUAUAAAGGUUCACAUGGCCGCGGGGCCAGACGGAUUACCAAGACGUGUACUCAGAGCAUGCGCCGACAAAAUAGCAAGUCUCUUCACUGACAUUUUCAACCUCUCCCUGACCAAGUCUGUAAUACCUACAUGUUUCAAGCAGACCACCAUAGUCCCUGUGCCCAAGAAAGCGAAGGUAACCUGCCUAAAUGACUAUCACUAUCAUGUCGGUAGCCAUGAAGUGCUGUGAAAGGCUGGUCAUGGCUCACAUCAACACCAUCAUCCCGGAAACCCUAAACCUACUCCAAUUCGCAUACCACCCUAACAGAUCCACAGCUGACGCAAUCUCAAUCUCACUCCACACGGCCCUUUCCCACCUGGACAAAAGGAACACCUAUGUGAGAAUGCUGUUCACUGACUGCAGCUCAGUGUUCAACACCAUAGUACCCACAAAGCUCAUCACUAAGCUAAGGACCCUGGGACUAAACACCUCCCUCUGCAACCGGAUCCUGGACUUCCUGACGGGCCGCCCCCAGGUGUUAAGGGAGGCAACAACACAUCUGCCAUGCUGACCCUCAACACUGGGGCCCCUCAGGGGUGUGUGCUUAGUCCCGUCCUGUACUCCCUGUUCACCCACGACUGCAUGGCCAGACACGACUCCAACACCAUUUAUUGAGUUUGCUGACGACCCACCAGUGGUAGGCCUGAUAUAUUUUUGGGGGAAAUAUAUAUAUCCAUAUACAUACACGCAUGCAUACAUAUACACAUAUAUACAUACACAUACCUAUAUAGAUAUACAUACUUUUUAAAGAAUAUACCUUUAUUAUUCCCCGCAAACUCUACCACCCCUCCCCCAAUUGGAGUAAAAUAAUAAACACUUAGGCUUCUACCUUUUAGUUUAUACAUCUUAUACACAUUUUACAGACACAAUAUAUUUUACAGUAGUUAUAUUUUGUUUGUUUUUAGUCCUUCCUCUAUUUCUGAUGCCCAUCCAGUUUGAUUUCUAUUUGUAACUGUGCUAUUUCACAACAUUUCUGAACCUAUAUACAUUUUACAGACCCCGUAUGUUUUACAUUGGUUUUACAUCUUGUUAUUAGUCCCACCCUUCUGCUCCAUUCAACCCCUCCCAUCUAUCUCUCAACAUCAUCCAUUUUGGAUUUCUAUUUGCCAUAUAUUUUUCAACUGUCCUGUGAUGCUUCACAAAAGUACUGAACUUUUCUAUUCUCAUAGCUUCUACAGAUUGUAAAUUAAAAAUAAAUUUUUUGCUUAAAUAAUUAUUAUAUUAUUGAUUGAUUGACUAUGGUUUUUCAAAUCACCCAGUAUUGCUAUCUGCAGCGUUAGUUAUAGGCAAAUGUUGCAAUUAUUCAGCCAUUCCUGGACCUGUGACCAAACACGAGCUACAUAUGGACAAUACCAAAAUAAAUGAUCUAAUGACUCUGCCUCCUCACAGCAGAAUCUGCAGAGCUGGGAAGAUUGUAUCCACCAUAUAUAUAACAUUCUAUUAGUUGCAAGAAUGUUGUAUAGUAAUUUAAAUUGAAAAAUGUGUAUUCUUGAAUCUGGCGUUGUUUUGCGUAUCAAUUCAUAAACCAUAUGCCAUGGAAUGGGUACAUCGAAAAUCUCUUCCCAACUAUUUUGCAAUUUAUAUGGCACAGCUGUCAGUUUUUUGGUCCUUAAAUGAAAUUGGUAUAUGCUUUUAUUUAUCACACUUUUGAGCAGACAUGUCCAUAUGUCUGUGUUAGCUGCAUGUGUGACUGUCACGUCCUGACCAAUAUUUAGGUAUUAUUUCUAUUAUAUUUGGUCAGGACGUGGCAGAGGUAUAUUUGUUUUGUAUUAUGGGGUUUUGUGUGUGGUGUAGUGGGGUAUAUUUGUUUUGUAUUAUGGGGUUUUGUGUGUGGUGUAGUGGGGUGUAUUAGUUUGGUAUAGGUUCUAGGUUUG
Molecule: long non-coding RNA, 2132 nt
Filed under: Salmo salar (Atlantic salmon)
Lineage: Eukaryota; Metazoa; Chordata; Actinopteri; Salmoniformes; Salmonidae
Description: lncRNA (ENSSSAG00000105446.1)
Source: RNAcentral